RNAcentral lists this unclassified non-coding RNA (339 nucleotides) under soil metagenome. RNAcentral's name for it is "partial contains 5.8S ribosomal RNA, internal transcribed spacer 2, and large subunit ribosomal RNA". The stretch from base 1 to 120 matches the Rfam family "5.8S ribosomal RNA", at positions 35 to 154 of the family's 154-position model. The record is from RNAcentral.
GAUGAAGAACGCAGCGAAAUGCGAUAAGUAGUGUGAAUUGCAGAAUUUAGUGAAUCAUCGAAUCUUUGAACGCACAUUGCGCCCUUUGGUAUUCCUUAGGGCAUGCCUGUUCGAGCGUCAUCUACACCCUCAAGCACAGCUUGGUGAUGGGCGCCUGUCCCGCCCCCCACGGGGGCGCGGACUCGCCUCAAAUGCAUUGGCGGCCGGCGACCUGGCUUCGAGCGCAGCAGAAACGCGUACUCGGGGACCGGGCGCCCGCUCCCAGAAGCCAACCCACCCAGUUUGACCUCGGAUCAGGUAGGGAUACCCGCUGAACUUAAGCAUAUCAUAAGCGGAGGA